RNAcentral lists this ribosomal RNA (347 nucleotides) under Shigella flexneri. RNAcentral describes it as "bacterial SSU rRNA". It matches the Rfam family "Bacterial small subunit ribosomal RNA", at positions 1 to 344 of the family's 1533-position model. The record is from RNAcentral. Lineage: Bacteria; Pseudomonadati; Pseudomonadota; Gammaproteobacteria; Enterobacterales; Enterobacteriaceae.
AAAUUGAAGAGUUUGAUCAUGGCUCAGAUUGAACGCUGGCGGCAGGCCUAACACAUGCAAGUCGAACGGUAACAGGAAACAGCUUGCUGUUUCGCUGACGAGUGGCGGACGGGUGAGUAAUGUCUGGGAAACUGCCUGAUGGAGGGGGAUAACUACUGGAAACGGUAGCUAAUACCGCAUAACGUCGCAAGACCAAAGAGGGGGACCUUCUGGCCUCUUGCCAUCGGAUGUGCCCAGAUGGGAUUAGCUAGUAGGUGGGGUAACGGCUCACCUAGGCGACGAUCCCUAGCUGGUCUGAGAGGAUGAACAGCCACACUGGAACUGAGACACGGUCCAGACUCCUACGG